RNAcentral lists this ribosomal RNA (385 nucleotides) under Phaeocystis sp. RNAcentral's name for it is "partial small subunit ribosomal RNA". It matches the Rfam family "Eukaryotic small subunit ribosomal RNA", at positions 587 to 975 of the family's 1831-position model. Lineage: Eukaryota; Haptophyta; Phaeocystales; Phaeocystaceae. The record is from RNAcentral.
AGCUCCAGAAGCGUAUAUUAAAGUUGUUGCAGUUAAAACGCUCGUAGUCGGGUUUCGGGUCGGGCCGAGCGGUCUGCCGAUGGGUAUGCACUGUUUGGCGCGGCCUUCUUUCCGGAGACCGCGGCUACUCUUAACUGAGCGGGCGUGGGAGACGGAUCGUUUACUUUGAAAAAAUCAGAGUGUUUCAAGCAGGCAGCUCGCUCUUGCAUGGUACAGCAUGGGAUGAUUGAAUAGGACUCCGGUGCUAUUUUGUUGGUUUCGAACACCAGGAGUAAUGAUUAACAGGGACAGUCAGGGGCACUCGUAUUCCGUCGAGAGAGGUGAAAUUCUCAGACCAAUGGAAGACGAACCACUGCGAAAGCAUUUGCCAGGGAUGUUUUCACCA